UGACUCUUGAUAUUAUUGAACAUCCAUACCUUGUGGUGUAUAUGAUAUUAUUGAUUUGAAGUAUGUUUGGCCUUAGUCUAGGCUUAGACUAGUGUUGCCAUAGACUUGCGAGGUUUCAGAUGUCGUUGGGCAGUAGAACUUUUUCCGACGUCGUUUCGGACGGUCAGCUCCUUGUAGACUGAUAUAGCAGACUUGAGUCUCAUAGUCUGAGCCUUAGCUAGGCGGUAACUCAUCUUAUGACCUUGAAUCUAUAAUUCCCUGCUUUUCUAUCGGCUACAGUACCCGAUUAGAGUCCGUGGUCCAGCUUACCUGUGAUCUGAUUUUGGCUACAGUACCCGGUAAGAGUCCGUGGUCCAGCCCACCCGUGCCCGACCUUUGGCUACAACACCCGGUUCGAGGCCGUGGUCCAGCCCAUAUAGGUUGACUCAUUAUCUAUAGUACCCGGUUCGAGUCCGUGGUCCAGGUUGCACGUGGUGCAUUCCCAAUUCUUUACUGAAGCUUCAGUUUAGUCCUAAUUACUCUCAUCUGUAGGUUGAGGUUUUGGAGGUUGGAGAUGUUCCGAUUAAAGUCUGGGACGUAAUGAGAUCUUGGAAUAUAAUUGGGAAUGGUUCAGUUAACGUCCGGAAAUUGGUAAUAUUAUGAUAGCCUUCUAGCUCCAUUAUUUUACUUCAACUGUCGGUGUAUCUGCCAGGUUUAUGGGGGUCCGUGCAGGUGAGUUCUUUUAUUGUGCGUGAGCGUACCCAUCGGGUUUAUGGGAGCCCGACGGAGUUAGUUAGAUUCCUUGUCUUUGUUGCCUGUACGCUCGUGUACAUACCCACAUUUACUAUUGUUUUACCCUUGAUAGUGACCCUUUAUUUGCAUUUCAGUUCACUUUUGUUUAACUUGCUCAGUCGGCCUGAUGCCUACUAGGUACCUGUUGUUUUGGUACUCAUACUACACUCUGCAUCUAUUUUCGUGAUGCAGGUCCGAGUACUAGCUACCGACGUUGAUUCAAGCCAUCUGCGAUUGUGAUCGGAGGCAAGGGUGAGCACACAACGCCUUGAUUUGCCCGUCUUCUUCUGUACUUACUUUUGCUUGUCUUUUGCCUUUUUAGACUGCUUGUUUCUGUGGUCCACUUUUAGGACUUGUACUUUUGUUAGCAGCUCUGUACUUGUGACUUCCAGGUUUUGGGAGGUAUUAAUUUUGUGUAUAUAUGUCUAGUCGCUUUCGCCCGUUCAUUGCAUGUUCUUAUUAUAUUUAUUACUAUUUUAGGUUGAUUGGUUGGUUUUCUACCCUAACAUCCCAUUACAUCGAGUUCCGGGAUAUGGGUCGGCUUGCCUACUGGUGGGUCAUAUAGUAGGCGCCAUCAGGACCUGAGAAAUUGGGUCUUGACAAAUUGGUAUCAGAGCCCCAGGUUCGUCGGUCUCACUUGUACAGAGCUAACGUCUAGUAGAGUCUUGCAGAUCGGUACGGAGACAUCCGUUACUUAUCUUUGGGAGGCUACAAGAUGUCUUUAUGAACGUGUCGCUUUUGAAUCACUGUCGUGCACUGUCUGUCUUAUCGGUUUCUGAAAAUCUUACUUGAUCCACUCUUUUACAGGGAUGGCUCGCACGCGUGGUAGGUCCUCAGCUAGGGGUAGAGGCCGACCUCGAGGUCGUGCCAGAGAUACAGCACCAGCCCAGGACCGAGACCAAACUCCGGAGCCGAUUAUAGAGGCACCAGCAGCUUCAGCACAGCAGCAACCGAUGGGCCCGGGACAAGCCUAACCACCGCCCGAGCCUGUGGCAGCUCCAGGCAUACAGGCGAUGCUCGUACAGAUACUAGCUGCCAUUGGUGGUAUGCAGCAGGCCCCAGCUUCAGCCGCUCCAGUACCUCAGGGCCAGCCUGCACCAGCGACACCGGUUGUUCAUCCUGACGAGUUAGAGGGCGUCAUGCCACUUCGGGAGCAGAAGAUGCUCGGGGUGUUCCUUAGACUAUCACCGUCGAGGUUUUCUGGGGCUGUGGGUGAGGCUGCCCAUGAGUUUCUAAUUACUUGCCGUGAGCAGCUACAGACUUUGGGUUUAGUGGAGUCGAGAGGAGCAGACUUCACCGCUUACCAGCUAGACGGUCCCGCCAGGCAGUGGUUGCGUACAUACUUAGAGACCAGGCCAGCUGGGUUUCCACCGGUCACAUGGACUGAGUUUUCAGAGGUCUUCUUGGCCCUAUUUAUUCCCAGGAGCAUCAAAGAUCAGCUCAGAGAUCAGUUUGCUCGGUUAGAGCAGGGCUCUAUGACAGUAUCAGAGUAUGAGGCCCGAUUCCACGAGAUCUCCAGGCAUGCCGCCAUGAUAUUACCAACUGAGGAAGAGAGGGUUCGUUGUUUUGUUCGGUGUUUGAGACUACAGUUGCGGUUUGAGACUCAGUCUUUAGUCUCAGCGGGCCGCUCAUUUCUGGAUGUAGUGGACCAUGUCCGCACUAUUGAGCAGCUCCGUCGCGAGGCCUAAGGGGGCAGCGACAAGAGAGCUAGACAGGUGGAUAGUCAUGAUAGGCGUCGUUUCAGACCCCGAGAGUCUUAUGAUAGAUCUCAGCAGAGGUUUCAGUCGGGUCAGUCUAGUCGCCCCUUCCAGGCCUCUCUCCAGGCCUCUCUCCAGGCAUCGGAGGGUGAUCAGCACCGCCAUAUUGGUUUUAGUGCCGGUCCUAGUCGGGGCUGAGAUAGUUCGCAGAUGGCUUCUUUUGGCCGGGGUAGACGACCUCCAGCUCUCACUCGACAGUCCUAGGGGUGCUAUGGGUGUGGGAAGUUAUAUCAUUGGGCCCGCGAGUGUCCCCAUCGCAGGUUAGCCUUACCCGCUCCACAGGCAGUUAGGCAUGCGCCAGCGCCAGCACCUCCAGCUAGAGGCAGAGGCCAGAGAUAGGACCGCAGGGGUGGUCACCAGGGUAUACGGGGUGGUCCCCGAGGAGGUAGGUUAGGGGGCAGAGCUAAUGCACAGGGUAGGGGAGGCCAGGCCCACUUUUAUGUAGCUCCAGCUAGAGCAGAUGCUUAGACCUUGGACGAAGUGAUCACAUGUACAGUGUUAUUAUGCCAUUAGCCCGCAUCCGCCAUAUUUGAUCCAGGCUCUACUUAUUCUUAUAUAUCUGUUUAUUGUGUUCCUCGAUUGAGUAUGAGCCCAGACCUAUUGGUUGAGCCGUUGCGUGUUUCGAUCCCGGUAGGUGAUUCUUUAGUAGUGGAUCAGGUAUUUAGAUCUUGUAUGGUGACUAUUCAGAGGCGAGACACUAGGGUUGAUCUCAUUUUGCUUGACAUGGUGAAUUUUGAUUUGAAUUUGGGUAUGGAUUGGUUAUCCCCCCACCGUGCGGUCUUGGAUUACUAUGCCAAGACCGUUACUUUAGCCAUGCCUGGUAUUCCACCAGUGGUGUGGCGGGGCUCUUGUAGUCGCACGCCAGUUGGGGUGAUAUAUUUUGUUCGGGCCCAGAGGUUGAUGGCUAGCGGGUGUAUGACUUAUUUAGCUUAUGUUAGAUAUGUUAGUAGGGAGAGUCCUACCGUUGAUUCAAUACCUAUUGUUCGAGAGUUUACAGAUGUGUUUCCUACCGAUCUGCUUGGUCUCCCUCCUGAUCGUGACAUUGACUUUCCUAUUGAAGUAGAGCCGGGCACUUAGCCUAUUUCUAUACCACCGUACCGUAUGGCCCCCGUAGAGCUCAAGGAGCUCAGUGUUCAGAUUCAGGAUCUCUUAGAUAAGUGAUUCAUUCGGCCUAGUGUAUCUCCUUGGGGUGUCCCAGUGCUCUUCGUGAAGAAGAGGGACGGUACUAUGCGAUUGUGCAUCGAUUACAGGCAGUUGAACAAGGUGACGGUGAAGAAUCGUUACCCCAUGCCUAGGAUUGAUGAUCUAUUUGACCAACUUCAGGGUGCUGUGGUAUUUUCUAAGAUUGAUUUAAGAUCCGGCUACCAUCAGUUGAGGAUUAGGGCAGUGGACGUCCCUAAAAUUGCAUUUAGGACUCGUUACGACCACUAUGAGUUCCUAGUGAUGUCUUUUGGGUUGACUAACGCCCCUGCCGCGUUCAUGGACUUAAUGAUUAGGGUGUUUAGGCCGUACUUGGAUUCGUUUGUCAUAGUCUUCAUAGAUGACAUUCUAGUAUACUCGCGGAGCCGGGAGGAGCAUGAGCAGCAUUUGAGGAUAGUGCUCCAGACUUUGAGAGGCCAGCGAUUUUAUGCCACGUUCUCAAAGUGCGAGAUUUGGCUUGAGUCCGUGGCAUUCUUGGGGCACGUGGUGUCUAAGGAUGGCAUUAUUGUAGAUCCCGCUAAGAUUGAGGCCAUUCGUGAUUCGGCCAGGCCCACCUCUGUGACUGAGAUUCGUAGCUUCGUCGGAUUGGCAGGCUACUACAGGCAUUUUGUUGAGGGAUUUUCUACUAUAGCAGCGCCUUUGACUUGGUUGACUCGCCGGGAUGUUUCGUUUGUGUGGUCGGAGGAGUGUGAGAGGAUUUUUCUGAGGCUUAAGGAGUUUCUUACCACCGCUCCUAUAUUGACUCUUCCAGUUGAGGGCGAGGGGUUUAAUGUUUAUUGUGACGCAUUCGGCAUCGGUUUGGGUUGUGUACUGAUGCAGUAGGGCCGCGUUAUUGCUUAUGUGUCGAGGCAGCUUACGCCGCACGAGCGCAACUACCCCACUCAUGCGUUAGAGUUGGCGGCGGUAGUUUUAGCGCUUAAGAUUUGGAGGCAUUACCUGUAUGGAGUUCGAUGGGAGUUCUAUACUGAUAACAGGAGCAUUCAGUACAUUAUGAGCCAGAGGGAUCUUAAUUCGAGACAGUGCCGUUGGAUUGAGCUCCUGAAGGACUAUGACCUCUCUAUUCUCUACCAUCCGGACAAGGCGAAUGUAGUAGCGGACGCCUUGAGUCGGAAGGCAGUGAGUAUGGGUAGUCUAUCAUUUCUUUCUACUACGGAGCGACCAUUAGCUUUGGACAUCCAGUCCUUAGCUAACUGGAUGAUACGGCCUGAUAUCUCUGAUUCCCGGUGUGUACUAGCUUAUGUGGAUGCUCAGUCAUCUCUGGUGGAUCGGAUUCAUAGUCGUCAGUUUGAGGAUGAGGACUUAGUGGCACUUCGAGUUAAAGUUUUGGGAGGUGACACUGGCUUGGCUACCUUAGAUUUAGAUGGGGUUUUAAGAUUUGGUGAUCGACUUUGUGUUCCAAGAGUUGGUGGUUUGAUUCAGAUGAUUCUUACCGAGGCCCAUGACUCCAAAUAUUCUAUUAAUCUGGGCACAACUAAGAUGUAUCGGAACUUGAGACAGCACUACUGGUGGAGCGGCAUGAGGAGAGAUAUUGCGGAUUAUGUAUCGCGUUUCUUGAGUUGUCAACAGGUUAAGGCCGAGCAUUUAGGCCUGGUGGCGAGCUUCAGAGAUUACCCAUUCCUGAGUGGAAAUGGGAGAGGAUCACCAUGGACUUCGUUGUAGGAUUACCCCGCACUUCCCGUGGUCUUGGUAGUAUUUGGGUCAUCGUGGAUCGAUUGACCAAGUCAGCACACUUCAUUCCUGUCCAUACUUCCUACAGUGCCAAGAGGUUAGCCCGUAUCUACAUUCGAGAGGUGGUUCGUCUUCAUGGUGUGCCUGUUUCCAGUCAUCUCAGAUCGGGGCCCACAGUUCACAUCUAGCUUCUGGAGGACCUUCCAGGAUGAGUUGGGUACUCGUGUUGACCUUAGUACAACUUUCCACCCGCAGACUGAUGAUCAGUCGGAGCGCACGAUUCAGGUUCUUGAGGACAUGUUGCGGGCUUGUGUUAUGGAUUUUGGAGGUCAGUGGGACCAGUUCUUGCCUUUGGCAGAGUUUGCGUAUAACAACAGCUACCACUCUAGUAUUCAGAUGGCCCCAUUCGAGGCAUUAUAUGGUAGGCGUUGUCGCUCUCCAGUUGGUUGGUUUGAGUCUACAGAGCCCAGGCCGCGCGGUACAGACUUGAUGCGAGAGGCUUUAGAUCAUGUGAGGGUGAUUCAAGAUAGGCUCAGGACAGCCCAGAAUAGACAUCAGAGUUAUGCAGACCGUAGGCGUCGACUAUUGAAAUUUACUGUUGGUGAUAGAGUAUUCCUCUGUGUGUCUCCCAUGAAGGGUAUAAUGAGAUUUGGGAGGCGGGGAAAGCUUAGCCCCAGGUAUAUAGGUCCUUUUGAGAUAUUGAGGACAGUUGGAUGAGGAUGAACUCAUAAAUUUAAAUUCCGUAUUCAUAUCAGUUCUCAGGACUGUUUUCCAGAAGUUCGUAUUAGUAGUAGAAGUUUACCAUUUGCUUGGAAUGGCGUCUCCUCCAAAGUAGUAUCUGUAUAUAUAGGCCAUUACACUUUCUAUCAGUUUAAGGAAACAUUACCUCGUUGUUUUAGUAGUGCAUAUUGUAAUGACCCUCCAGGUCAUUUUUAAAUUAAAGCAUUCAUUCCAUCGUUUAGAGCGUUCCUGUAGCGACCCCAGGUCAUUUAUGACUUGCUGGCACUGACUGUUCGGUCGCCUGGUCGUUCGUUUGGGUUUUGGGCCCGUUUCCCUGUUUUUUGAGAUUUUACAACUUGAAAAGUUGACUUUAGUCAACCUUCUUGAAAGACGUGCUCAAAUGAAAAUUCUGACAGUUAGGUUAGCUUCGGAAUAUCGAUUUUGGUCUAGAACGACCCUUUGUUCACUUCCCGAGGCUUUAGGUGCCCGUUGUGGAAUCUGGCUAAAAACGAUACUGGGUGUGGGACCCACUUUUCAUCUAAGCGAUCUCCAAUGAUCUAAGCGAUCUCCAAUGGAAAUUCCCAUUUCACUGUUUAGUCCGAAAUAUCAUUUCCAAUCAGAUUCCAUAAAUGGUUUGUGUUUUUCCGACUCCGAACGUGUCCAGAAUAUCGAAAAUAUAAGUUUGAAGAGUUGUUGAAUUCUAACGCGGUGGUGACGUGGCAGAGGCACGCGACGCCACGUGGCAGCGUGUUGAAAUCUGGAAAUUUCCAGAUUUAAGGACAAUUUUCGUCCAUUUUUUCCCCUCAUCUUCAAACAUAGAUAUCUCCUCCGUUUUAAGCUCAAAUUAGGUGAUUCAACAGGCUACUUUCAAGAGAAUUUUGUGGGGAAUCUAGAGGUGAGCUCAGAAACGCAAGGGGAGGCUUCAUUUGAGGUAAGGAAUCGAAUUUAGCUACUGCUGGAGUGAUUUUCGGAAUGAAUUUUUGUUGAACUUUGGAAGGUUAGAUCUUGAUCAUCUUUGGUCUGCUUUGAGUCAUUUUUGAGGCUAACUUGUAGAGUUUUUCGCAAGGAUCGUCGUGGUAUAAUCUGUUUGGGUUGGAAGGGUCUCGUUUUUCCAGAAAUUGGUGAUCAAGGGGCUGCCAAGUCAUAAGUCAAGACUUAUUAAUGAUUUUAAUUGUUGGGGCUGAUUUGCUAUGUUUUAGGCAUCUUUUUGUGCUAAAUUUUGGGGUAUUAGUUUAGUAAGGUAUGUGGGACGUUUUCGGGAUUCCAAUUGUGGGUCCCACAAUCCCGUUUUAGACCAAAUUUUGGGUCCGUCUCUGAAAAAUAUAAUUUUAGUGUCAGUAUAUUCGUUAUGACGAGGUGAUUAACCUUUUGAUAGUGGGGAAGCAUUUGGAGACCGUUCGGAGGGGAAAAGAUCUGGUACCGUGAGUUGGAGCACGCGUGAUCGGCUUUCAGGUAGGCUAUGGUUUUUCCCUCAUGAGAUUGAGCAUGUUUAGGCAAUUUUUUAAUGAUUUGCUUGAGUAUGGAGGGGUUCGGGUGUCGAGCGUGCUAAAUUUCUAUAAUUCCUGCCUUAGACCUUAUUUGGGGAAAUUGUUGGAUUAUGACAGCAUGACUCUUGAUAUUAUUGAACAUUCAUACCUUGUGGUGUAUAUGAUAAUAUUGAUUUGAAGUAUGUUUGGCCUUAGUCUAGGCUUAGACUAGUGUUGCCAUAGACUUGCGAGGUUUCGGAUGUCGUUGGGCAGUAGAACUUUUUCCGACGUCGUUUCGGACGGUCAGCUCCUUGUAGACUGAUAUAGCAGACUUGAGUCUGAUAAUCUGAGCCUUAGCUAGG
Molecule: long non-coding RNA, 7944 nt
Filed under: Solanum tuberosum (potato)
Lineage: Eukaryota; Viridiplantae; Streptophyta; Magnoliopsida; Solanales; Solanaceae
Description: long non-coding RNA (STUB_LNC000016)
Source: RNAcentral